RNAcentral lists this ribosomal RNA (253 nucleotides) under uncultured bacterium. Its description in RNAcentral is "partial 16S ribosomal RNA". It matches the Rfam family "Bacterial small subunit ribosomal RNA", at positions 524 to 776 of the family's 1533-position model. The record is from RNAcentral.
UACGUAGGGCGCAAGCGUUGCCCGGAAUUAUUGGGCGUAAAGAGCUCGUAGGCGGCUUGUCACGUCGAUUGUGAAAGCCCGAGGCUUAACCUCGGGUCUGCAGUCGAUACGGGCUAGCUAGAGUGUGGUAGGGGAGAUCGGAAUUCCUGGUGUAGCGGUGAAAUGCGCAGAUAUCAGGAGGAACACCGGUGGCGAAGGCGGAUCUCUGGGCCAUUACUGACGCUGAGGAGCGAAAGCGUGGGGAGCGAACAGG